Arabidopsis thaliana (thale cress) is the source of this 277-nucleotide long non-coding RNA. RefSeq annotates it as other RNA. Lineage: Eukaryota; Viridiplantae; Streptophyta; Magnoliopsida; Brassicales; Brassicaceae. The record is from RefSeq. The transcript has a single exon.
AUUAUAUUGGGUCGAUUUAAGAAGAAUCAAAAGGUUGAGGGAAUUAUUUUGAAGAAAGUGGAGAAGUGAAGGGUAAUGAAUUUGGUGAUGAUGACAAUGGAGAGAAGGUGCAACCGUGUGCGUAGGUUUGUCGCCACUCUUUGUCGGCUCUGUUCUCUAUCUGCUUAACAAGCCCUCACAUUUCCCUAUUUCCACGUUCUUCUUUAGGAUAUGGAGACGGCUUCACUCACGUGUUUGGUAGGGCUUCCACGCACAUGUAUCCAUGUUACUUCUUCCC